UACCUUAGUAACGGCGAGUGAAGCGGUAACAGCUCAAAUUUGAAAUCUGGGUCUUUUAGGCUCCGAGUUGUAAUUUGUAGAAGAUGCUUUGGGUGCGGCCCCGGUCUAAGUUCCUUGGAACAGGACGUCAUAGAGGGUGAGAAUCCCGUAUGUGAUCGGUGGCUUGCGCCCGUGUAAAGCUCUUUCGACGAGUCGGGUUGUUUGGGAAUGCAGCUCUAAAUGGGUGGUAAAUUUCAUCUAAAGCUAAAUAUUGGCCAGAGACCGAUAGCGCACAAGUAGAGUGAUCGAAAGAUGAAAAGCACUUUGGAAAGAGAGUUAAACAGUACGUGAAAUUGUUGAAAGGGAAGCGCUUGCAACCAGACUUGCGCGGGGUUGAUCAUCCGGGGUUCUCCCCGGUGCACUCGGCCUCGCUCAGGCCAGCAUCGGUCUUGGUGGUUGGAUAAAGGCCUUGGGAAUGUGACUUCUUUCGGGGAGUGUUAUAGCCCUCGGUGCAAUGCAGCCUACCGGGACCGAGGACCGCGCUUCGGCUAGGAUGCUGGCGUAAUGGUUGUAAGCGACCCGUCUUGAAACACGGACCAAGGAGUCUAACAUCUAUGCGAGUGUUUGGGUGUCAAACCCAUACGCGUAAUGAAAGUGAACGGAGGUGAGAACCCUUAAGGGUGCAUCAUCGACCGAUCCUGAUGUCUUCGGAUGGAUUUGAGUAAGAGCAUAGCUGUUGGGACCCGAAAGAUGGUGAACUAUGCCUGAAUAGGGUGAAGCCAGAGGAAACUCUGGUGGAGGCUCGCAGCGGUUCUGACGUGCAAAUCGAUCGUCAAAUUUGGGCAUAGGGGCGAAAGACUAAUCGAACCAUCUAGUAGCUGGUU
This 863-nucleotide ribosomal RNA is filed under the name Pezicula cinnamomea. RNAcentral describes it as "eukaryotic LSU rRNA". It matches the Rfam family "Eukaryotic large subunit ribosomal RNA", at positions 76 to 956 of the family's 3401-position model. Lineage: Eukaryota; Fungi; Ascomycota; Leotiomycetes; Helotiales; Dermateaceae. The record is from RNAcentral.